This 777-nucleotide non-coding RNA is filed under the name Rapisma zayuanum. The record is from RNAcentral. Lineage: Eukaryota; Metazoa; Arthropoda; Insecta; Neuroptera; Rapismatidae.
AAAAUUUUAUUUUAGUUAAUAAUUUAUUAAAUUUUUAUUUUACAUGUAAAUUAUAGUAUGGAUAUAAAUAUUCUUAAAGAAAAAAUUUUUUAUUCGCAGUAUUUAAAAUUAAAAAUAAAAGAAAUUUUGAUUUAGUAAAAAAUAUAAAUAUAAAAAAAAUUUGUGCCAGCAUUUGCGGUUAUACAAAUUAUAUAAAUAAAUUAAUUUAGUUUUAGUUAAUAUAUUAAAUUAAGUUAAUUAAAAUAAUUUAUUUUUAGGUUAAAUUUAAAAUAAAUUUAUUUUUAAAAAAAAAGUUAUGAAAUCUAAAAAAUUUUAUUAAUAAACUAGGAUUAGAUACCCUAUUAUAAAAAAAAUAUAAUAAAAAUGCUUAAGUAGUAAUAGAUAAGGUCUUGAAACUUAAAAAAUUUGGCGGUAUUUUAGUCUAUUUAGAGGAACCUGUUUUAUAAUUGAUAAUCCACAAUAAAUUUUACUAAAUUUAUAAAAUUUGUAUAUCGUCGUUAACAGAUUAUUUUAAAAGAAGAAUAUUUAAAAAUUUAAAUUAAAAUAUAUUUCAGAUCAAGAUGCAGUAAAUAAUUUAGAAAAAAUGGGUUACAAUAAAUAAAUUUAUAUGAAUAGAUAAUUGAAAUAUUAUUUUGAAAGUGGAUUUAAAAGUAAAAUUAAUAAAAUAAUUAAUUUGAUUUUAGCUCUAAAAUAUGUACAUAUCGCCCGUCGCUCUUUUUAUUAAGAAAAGAUAAGUCGUAACAUAGUAGAUGUACUGGAAAGUGUAUCUAGAAUGAA